GUGAGGGUUUCUGUUUCACUGUAAGAAAAACAAAACAGUGACAGGUCAUACACUCAUUCAUGCAUUAUACUUUCCUUUUAAUCAGUCCUUCUGCCACAAAAAUAAUAGAGCAUCCAUCAAAUGACGUAAUUGUACAUAAAUAAAUAUUUACUCAAAUUCCCUAGUUGCAGUCACAUCCCACUAAAAAAUACCAGAAUCAGCUGGAUUUCUGGAAAGCAAAAUAUGUCCAGAAGUUUUGCCAGGUUGUGUAGAAUUAUGCUUGUUUAACUGAGCCUUUGAAAGUCUCAUAUGAUUGUAAAUGUGUGUGUGUGUCUCUAUCAACCCAUAUUAUGUCAUACAAAACACUUGGACUUGCACACCCAUUUCACUUUUUUCUUAUUAUUUUCAGGUAGACAUUACUAACGAGGUUUACCCUAAGAAUAAGGAGAUGCCAGCAAAAAGGAUAGAGAAAACUUGAGGCAUGGUGGCUGCCAGAUUUACAUCUACACAGCUCUAGUAUCUGAGCCAGCAGUCGAGACUCAGGGGAAAUGCAACUUCAGAGCUUAAAAAGACAGUGGUGAGACCUAUUUUGACCUGCUUUUUGAUGUGAUGCAAGUUUCAUCAGAAACCUUUUACUGUCAAUGGGAGAUGUCGGGAUGCAGAGCUCAGAGAAGUCGACUCCUCUUCCUUGUGCACAUGGGCAUGGUUAACCUAUGGUGGACACCCCAGCCCUGCUGCGUAUCCACAGUCUCAGUCUGGCUUGUUCAAUUCAUCCACUUUCAGACGUUCUCUUCAUUGUAAACAGAUAACUGGAAAUCUGGACUCAGCAUCUUUUGCAGAGCUCCAUAACACCGUGGCUACAGGCAGUAUAAUUUUGUAGUUCUCAGAAUACGUGAAACUAAGGAGCUAUUAUGAAACAUGAACAGAAAUUUCUGAAGGAUAUCCAAGAUAUUGACUCUCUCACUUCUGGGAACGGUCCCUCUGAGGCAGCCUUCAAAGCAUUGACAGCUGAAUGUGUGCAGUCUUCACCUACCAUUAAUCCCCAGCACGAUGGUCUUUGUAAAUGAGACAAUGCAGAAGUCGUGAGAGGACUCUGGGAAGGAGGUUUGAGGCUACGUUUGUAAGGCUGCUUUCAGAAGAGCCUUUUCUCCUUACAGUAUGAAAUCCCAUUGUUGGAAAGGCAUGGAGAGGAGCGAGGCCACAGCAAUUCUGGUAAGAGCUUUGCUGUUUGGACUAAUUGAAAUUAUGAGAAUCUGUGUCAUCCCGAAGCUUCUACAUUACAUCUAAAGCAGCUCUAUCCUCUUUGGCAGGC
Cuculus canorus (common cuckoo) is the source of this 1291-nucleotide long non-coding RNA. RefSeq lists it as uncharacterized. The transcript has 5 exons. NCBI's taxonomy places the organism in Eukaryota, Metazoa, Chordata, Aves, Cuculiformes, Cuculidae. The record is from RefSeq and is a predicted model, not a curated record.